AAAAGGACCGUGAAGGCUGACUGCGGCCUUUACAUGGGAAACUGAAGUAAUGUACUGAAGGUUAAAGAAAACUAUACCUGGAUAAGGUACAAAUAGCAAGGUUUUUUCUCCGAUUUGUUGAUGCUAUUGUAGUAGAACCUAAAGGUUUGAGACAGAUGUAGAUCUGAGUAGCGUAACGUAUGAGCGGAGAGUGAGUUCACGAAUGUAAAUUGUUGUCUGCCCGAGUUUCCUCAAACAGGAAUUAAAGUAAAAUAAAUACUAUACCUGGAAUAAAGGACAAGAAUCAGGUUUUUUAAAUAUAGAAACGAGCAGAACGGUUGGUGCAAGCGUAGAAUUGAACCUGGAUUUUUUUAAGGAUAAGAACCCGGUUUUUAUUGCAAUUAAGCCGUAAUAUGGCAAAGUGUGAUCUGUGGAGAUCAAAAGAGAAUAUUUAGCGGGGCUGAGAUUAAUUUGUACGUUUAAGGCAUGGUAUAACAUUGUGUGAUAAGUCAUUUAGCUGCAGGGAAGCUGCAUAUUAUACAGAAUAAAACAGUGAGUACCAUAAAAACCCACUAGGUGGCGAUGACAGCCCAAUAAACUAGGUCUGUGAACUGGUACAUAAAAUAUAUGGAAAAGUAUGAAUGAACGUCAUGUGAUACAUAUGUCAUGCAUAAUAUGGUGAAAACUGGCAAGCCUUUCUUUUCCCAUACAAUAAACAGCAUAGCCUCUUAUAGCAGCAUGAGUUUGGAGCAAAAUAUAUAUACUCCUAGCAACAAAUAACGAUUUUGGAUUUAAGACCGUGAGUGGGUGAGGGGGGGGGGUGUAAGACCCCCCAGACGGGUGUAUGAAAGAGACCGAGUAGAUGCUGGCGUGAGGGGAACGUGGUUAGUCCCCGGUAAGAUUCCCCUGUCAUUAGUGUUCCGGCCCCCCGCUGAACCACAGAGCGAUGUGGAGGGGACCGGAAUUAAAGGACUCACGGUUGGGAAGCAGGACCGCCGAACGCACGGAGGGUUCUGCCGGGCACUGGGGAUACAGCAGCACUGGAGAUACAGCAGGACCGCCGGUAGCACUGAGGGUUCUGCCGGGCACUGGAAGUGCAGCAGGACCGCCGGUAGCACGGAGGAUUCAGCCGUGCAGCUGAUACACGAGACGCCCGGACCGGAAAUGACGUAAACGUAAAGACUCGCGAACCGGAAGUAGAAUAGGGAUCACUUGAACUCGAACGUCAGAGGUGAGUAGGGGCUGGGUGUUUAAGUAGGGGACUUACUCCUCCC
Non-coding RNA from Pelobates cultripes (western spadefoot toad), 1253 nucleotides. The record is from the annotation of a GenBank genome assembly. NCBI's taxonomy places the organism in Eukaryota, Metazoa, Chordata, Amphibia, Anura, Pelobatidae.